RNAcentral lists this ribosomal RNA (253 nucleotides) under uncultured bacterium. RNAcentral describes it as "partial 16S ribosomal RNA". It matches the Rfam family "Bacterial small subunit ribosomal RNA", at positions 524 to 776 of the family's 1533-position model. The record is from RNAcentral.
UACGUAGGUGGCAAGCGUUAUCCGGAAUUACUGGGCGUAAAGCGCACGCAGGCGGUCUUGUAAGUUUGACGUGAAAGCUCCCGGCUUAACUGGGAGAGGUCGUUGAAGACUGCAGGACUUGAGGAAAUGAGAGGGGUGUAGAAUUCCUGGUGUAGUGGUGGAAUGCGUAGAUAUCAGGAGGAAUACCAGUGGCGAAAGCGGCACCCUAGCAUUUUUCUGACGCUCAUGUGCGAAAGCGUGGGGAGCGAACGGG